UUCGUAGGUGGCCCGCUAAGUCACACGUGAAAUCCCUCAGCUUAACUGGGGAACUGCGUGUGAGACUGGCAGGCUUGAGUGCAGGAGAGGAACGCGGAAUUCCAGGUGUAGCGGUGAAAUGCGUAGAUAUCUGGAGGAACACCGGUGGCGAAGGCGGCGUUCUGGACUGUAUCUGACACUGAGGAACGAAAGCCAGGGGAGCAAACGGGAUUAGAUACCCCGGUAGUCCUGGCCCUAAACGAUGAAUGCUUGGUGUGACGGGUAUCGAUCCCUGUCGUGCCGUAGUUAACGCGUUAAGCAUUCCGCCUGGGGAGUACGGUCGCAAGGCUGAA
This 332-nucleotide ribosomal RNA is filed under the name uncultured Acidobacteriota bacterium. RNAcentral describes it as "bacterial SSU rRNA". It matches the Rfam family "Bacterial small subunit ribosomal RNA", at positions 568 to 898 of the family's 1533-position model. Lineage: Bacteria; Pseudomonadati; Acidobacteriota. The record is from RNAcentral.